AUGUUGCCAGUAUACUGCCAGUAUAAAACUGGUCUCUCUUGCUAGUAUUCGGUGUCCCUAAGGGAGUAGUGACCUGUACGCUUCCAUCCCUAAUAGCUACUUUCCCAGGAACAGAAGGGAAAAGAAUGUUUGUACAAUCCUCUUUGCAGGAAACAGCUUUUGGAGCUUCUUUGCUAUCAAAAGAAGGAUUCAAAGAACCAGCCACCCCAAUCUGAUCUCCUGUACCAGUCAAUCAGAGCUGAUCCUGAGCAGCUGGAAGAGAAAGAUUCAGGUGUUGGCACUUACAGUUCCUGUGUGCUGAUGGACUACUUCUGCCCAGCUGCAGGCAGUGUUUUUGUGAGUUCUUCAGGUGGCCCUUAUAUUUUUGUUUCUGUGUCAGCUAAUAGAACAAAUUCUUCUGCAGAAGCUUGGAUAGGUAAGUGAUAGAAUAUUUUCAUUUCUUACAGUCUAAAGCUGCGUAAGAAUUGAUAAUGUUCAUUUAAAUUGCAGGGUUAGUAAUGGCUGCAAGUUGUACCAGAGGAGGUUUUUAUUAUGCAUAAGGAAAAACUUUUUCUCUCAGAGAAUAGUCAGGUA
This 573-nucleotide long non-coding RNA is filed under the name Coturnix japonica (Japanese quail). RNAcentral's name for it is "lncRNA (ENSCJPG00005009964.1)". The record is from RNAcentral. Lineage: Eukaryota; Metazoa; Chordata; Aves; Galliformes; Phasianidae.